CGAGAUGAUUGGUGGCGUACUUCUUUUGUUUCCCUUCUAUCGAAACCUCCCCUUAGUCCUCAGGGGCCUUCUCUGCUUAUUGCUCGCUCCUCCCAAGCGGCUUCGCUCGAUCAACAUUUGAGCCACAGCCUCUGCGUCAGCGUUGGCGUCCAUCGACUAGAAGCCUUUGCAGUCAUUCACGGCAUUCCACGCACUGCCUCGGUCAUUACUUUUGGUAGCGUUGGCCGACGAGACGCACACAGAAAGAGACGGAAAAGAUGUCUGUCGAAAGCGCGUCUGGGAGCGCAAAGCUGUCCCUCACCUCCUCCGAGGACGGGGAGAGCUACGGUCUCCUGCAUGACGGCACCCGGUUCCGUGUUCCGGACACCAUGUCAGUGAUGGACGCACUCUUGACACCCAAGUCGUGGCGGAGUCCGGCGACGCUCAUCUGGAUCGCGUCCUGGUUCGCCGUGGGGAUGACGGGGCUGCUCUACUUCACCCACGGGCUGCCUAUGUGGUUCUUCUGCGCUCACUUUGCCUUCUGGCGACUCGCGUACAACAUUGGCAUCGGUGCCAUUCUGCACUACCACUCGCGGUACGGCUCUUUCCUUAAGUUCUACCGUCGCAUUGUCAACGAUUACCCGAUUACCCGACGCCUUCUGGAGGCGUCCGUUGUCUUCCAGGACAACACCGAGUACAAGGUGUCCAGUUUUCCGGACGAGUUCAACGCUUGGAUGCUGUUCCGCCAGAUUGAGAACGUCAUUCUCGCCAACGACCUUGUCUCGUACUGCGUGCUUUCGGUUGUCUGCUGGGAGAAGAUGAGCCUCAGAUCGCCCAUGGACAUUUGCUGUUUCGUAUUUGGCUGCGCCUCCAUCGCGUUUGCACUCUGGAGCAAGUUCGACGUGCACCGCGUCAUUGGCGACUUCGCCUGGUACUGGGGCGACUUUUUCUUUCUCCUCGACAAAAACCUCACCUUCGACGGCAUCUUCCAAAUGUUCCCACAUCCGAUGUAUACGGUCGGCUACGCCUUCAUGUAUGGCGUGCCGGUCAUGGCCAAGUCCUACACGCUCUUCUACAUGAGCGUCUUUGGGCACCUGUGCCAGCUGGCGUUCCUGGCGUUUGUGGAGAAUCCGCACAUUGACCGCACCUAUAACGUACUGUCGUCACCGACGCCGGAGGAGCAGCAGCGGCAUGCCGUGCUGUACGGGAACGGUAGUGAGGCCUACCUGGAGCACAACGAGCUUGUGGUGCUCAUGCACUUCGACAUAUUCCGCGCCAGUGACCUUCUUUUAGCCUUGACGAUCAUCUAUCUGCUGGCGACGCUGCUGCUGCCCCUCCCGGCGUGGGUCUACGCGGCUCACGUGAUGGCCUGGCGUCUCUUUCACAACGGCUUUCUCGGCUACCUGCUGAAGCGGGAGUCGUGCGAGAAGUGGUUCUCCCGGAACUACGCCUCGCCGCAGGCCGCCUUCAACAACUGGAAGCGCAUCUACAACGCGAGUGUCACAAUCACAAACCUGUCCUACUGCCUCUGCGCCGUCAAGUACUUUACCUGGGCGAUGCCGCUUUUCAGCAGUGGCGAGGCACGCUGCUUCGUGAUGAUCGUCGGCACGCUUCUUGUCGGCAUCAACGCGUACGUGAGCUGGAGCAUAUACGAGGCCAUCGGUGACUACGGCUACUUCUACGGUGACUUCUUCAUCGAGAACGUCCCGGCAAAGCUGAACUACAGCGGCAUCUACCGCUAUCUAAAUAACCCAGACUCGUCGCUCGGAAUGUCAGCCUACUACGGCAUCGCACUGCUGUCCGGCAGCCCGGUGGUGCUGGUGGUGGCUAUGAUGUCCCACGCGGCUGCGAAGAUCUUUGAGGCUGUCGUUGAGGAACCGCACAUGCGCAAGCGCUACGGUGACCAAGUUCGCGAGGCUGGUGGGAUGCAAGCGGAGUUUGUGCGGCGCAUGAAGGUGUCGAAGGCGGAGUACGACAAGAAGAUGCGCGCCAUUAAGGCAAAGCUGGAAUGUCGCAAGAAACAGUAAGCGCGCGAUCACACCGACCUUUGCGGAGGUUGCCACUCUGGCAGACAUGUGUGUGCCUCUCCUCUUCGAUGAUUUUUUUUUUGACGGGGCAGGGGCGCGGGGCCUGCGAGAAUUCGAGCUGAACAGCGGUGGGGGCUGACCACACCCACUGUUGGCGUCGACGUCGCGCCAUCGGAACGUGUAGUGCACAGCGAAGGCUUGAAUGCGAGUGCUUGUGCCUCUGUUGGUGUCCACCAUUAAUCAGCUAUAUAUGUAAGGUGGGGUGUGGGCGAAGGGACGGCGGCCGCUACAGCGGUUUGCCUUUGUGCCCUUUUCGCUCUGCGUGCCGUUUUCUUGCACUUUUGCCGUUUCUCUCUCUUUUGUGCGACGCCUUCUUCUAUCAGCGCCCGUGAGGAGGGGGGGAUGAUGAAAUGGGUGGCAAAGUAGACAACAGAACGAAGUGGAAUCGCGCAGGCUCGUCAACGUGCAAUGGCGACACCGCUCCGCCGUCUCUAUCGCUUUUCACCCCUUCCCUUUUGUGGGCUUCUGUUGUUUUUCUUCUGUUGAACAACAACG
Molecule: unclassified non-coding RNA, 2561 nt
Filed under: Leishmania donovani
Lineage: Eukaryota; Euglenozoa; Kinetoplastea; Trypanosomatida; Trypanosomatidae
Description: gene:LdHU3.31.5510(CDS-product:phosphatidylethano laminen-methyltransferase-lik_e_protein)
Source: RNAcentral